Panicum virgatum (switchgrass) is the source of this 458-nucleotide long non-coding RNA. RefSeq lists it as uncharacterized. The transcript is spliced from 2 exons. NCBI's taxonomy places the organism in Eukaryota, Viridiplantae, Streptophyta, Magnoliopsida, Poales, Poaceae. The record is from RefSeq and is a predicted model, not a curated record.
CGUUGGGGCGCGGCCUCCCAGUGUCGGAGCCAGGCCGGGCCACCAAACUGCGGUGGAGAGCGCAGGAGCCCGACCUCCCAGCUUGGAGCGGGGCUGGGCCACCCCGGCAGUGCAGCGCGCAGAAUAACUUGGACGGAGAUCAUGGAUUGUGCAUCCAGUGCAGCCACUCCUAUGUGUCUUGAUGCCUCUUGUGAGCAUGAAUGAACAGUCAGCCAAGAAGCAGCAGAAGAGGAAGAGGGCCUUCUUUGAAUUGGAUAUUGGGGAUAAAGAAUCUAUAUCCGCUGAAUUGCAGCGAGAAAUGAAAUCUUGUGAGCAUUUUGUGAUUCUUUUGUAGUCUUGUGAAAACAAUGAAAUGAAAUGUCGUAAUUGUUGUGUAGUCUUGUGAUCCUUGUGACUUGUCAAAUAAGAUCUUGAUUCUUGUGUAAUGAAAUCUUGUGAUUGUUGUGACUCUUGUAAAA